This 299-nucleotide signal recognition particle RNA is filed under the name Saimiri boliviensis boliviensis (Bolivian squirrel monkey). RNAcentral's name for it is "Metazoan signal recognition particle RNA (ENSSBOG00000014662.1)". It matches the Rfam family "Metazoan signal recognition particle RNA". From Rfam's summary of the family: The signal recognition particle (SRP) is a universally conserved ribonucleoprotein. Lineage: Eukaryota; Metazoa; Chordata; Mammalia; Primates; Cebidae. The record is from RNAcentral.
GCUGGGCGCAGUGGCUCAUGCCUGUAAUCCCAGCACUUUGGAAGGUUGAGGCUGGAGGAGCGCUUGAGUCCAGGAGUUCCGGGCUGUAGUGCACUAUGCCAAUCAGGUGUCCGCACUAAGUCCGGUAUCAAUAUGGUAACCUCCCAGGAGCAGGAGACCAUCAGGUUGCCUAAGGAGGGGUGAACCAGCCCAGGUCGGAAAUGGAGCAGGUCAAAACUCCCAUGCUGAUCAGUAGUGGGACUGCACCUGUGAAUAGCCACUGCACUCCAGCCUGGGCAACAUAGCGAGACCCUGUCUCU